AGCUGGUUCAAGACGAGAAGUCUGUGGAUUUUGAUUACCCUGGUGGAGAUCAUGAUUUUUACGAGGGAGAUAAGGAUGACCAACAGAUGGAUGCCAAUCAUCUUGACUAUAACAGUGACAAUGAAGACAAGCAGGGAAGUAGAAGGGAUGAGGAUGGCGAAGAGCCUGCUGAAAGUUUGUCAGAGGAUGAAUGGCAGCCAGAAGCCAAACGAAUGAAAAUUGAAAAAUGAAAACCGGAAAAAAUGCAUCAUCUACAAUACUAAUACUUCAGAUUUAAAAUUCUCGUUCCUGUAUUCCAUACCUGCCAUUUUUCUUUCUACUUCUUCGCACAAGUUUCCAGGCUUG
Molecule: long non-coding RNA, 345 nt
Organism: Daphnia pulicaria
Lineage: Eukaryota; Metazoa; Arthropoda; Branchiopoda; Diplostraca; Daphniidae
Exons: 3
Source: RefSeq, a predicted model, not a curated record